CGCACCUUGCGCCCUCUGGUAUUCCGGAGGGCAUGCCUGUCUGAGUGUCAUGUAGACUCAAUCCCCUUGGGUUUUCCCUGGGGAGAUUGGAAUUGGGUGUUGCCGCUUACCCCGGCUCGCCUCAAAUGUCUCAGUGGGGAUGGCCCCUGUCGGGAGUGAUAAGUUUCUCUCGACGUCAAGGCUGUGAACCGCUCACAACAAACCUUCUUAUCUCUUGACCUCAGAUCAGGUAGGACUACCCGCUGAACUUAA
This 252-nucleotide unclassified non-coding RNA is filed under the name Saitozyma podzolica. Its description in RNAcentral is "partial contains 5.8S ribosomal RNA, internal transcribed spacer 2, and large subunit ribosomal RNA". The record is from RNAcentral. Lineage: Eukaryota; Fungi; Basidiomycota; Tremellomycetes; Tremellales; Trimorphomycetaceae.